Molecule: long non-coding RNA, 4040 nt
Filed under: Homo sapiens (human)
Lineage: Eukaryota; Metazoa; Chordata; Mammalia; Primates; Hominidae
Description: HSALNT0296249
Source: RNAcentral
AGAUCUGAGAGGAGCUCCAUCAUGGCUGCCACAGAGACUCGGAGAAGUGAGAAGAGCUAGGCAGCUUCCUCUUUAUCCAAAGGAUGCCCUUCUACUAGAAUUGGUCCGAUGUUUUCCUCAUGGUGAGACUGGAGUUAUGGGUUUUGAAGAGGAAGAUUACAGAGGAGGCCGAGAAGAAGGAAGUGAUUCCAGAAAGGUAUCACCAUUCCUCAGUUACGAAACCCAAGUGAGACCACAAUAUCCUGACUUCCAGUCUAGAGCUAUCUGUAAUGCAAUAAAUCUCUUCACAGGAGCAUAUACACUGGGAACGGGAACUCUCACAGGGAGAUUCUCUCCCUUGUUGAUUGGAAAAAGCCAGCUGCCAUGUUGUGAGUAUCCCAUUUAAAAGGGCUAUAUGGCAAGGAACCGAGGGCAGCCUUCAGCUGACAGCCAGCAAGAAACCAAGAUCCUCAGUCUGGUAGCUUGCAAGGCACUGAAUUCUGCCAACAACUGCGUGAGCUUGGAAGUGGAUCCUUCCUCAGUUAAGCCUUGGACAAGACCCAAGCCCUGUUGGACGCUUUAAUUACAGCCUUGCAGAGAACCCAGCUAAGGCAUGUUCAGACCUGAUCCACAGAAACUGUGAGAUAAUCCAUGUGUGUUGUUUUAAGCCUCUAAGUGUGUGGUAAUUUGUUACACAGCACUGGUUAGCUAACACAGAUACCUAGACAGCUGGUAAAGCAUUAUUUCUGGAUGUGUCUGUGAGGGUGUUUCUGGAGGAGAUUGGCAUGUGAGUCAGUGAACUCUGUGGGCAAGAGCUGCCCUCAAUGUAGGUGGGCACCAUCCAAUGUUGUUUUGUUGUAUCUAGGGGCCCAGAUAAAACAAAAAGGCAGAGGAAAGGUGAAUUCACUCUCUCUCUCCUGAAGCUGGGGUACUUUUAUCUCUUGCCCUUGGACAUCAGAACUCCAGGUUCUCUGGCCUUUGGACUCUGGGACUUGCACCAGCUCCCGGCUUCUCAGGACUUCAGCCUCAGAUUGAGAGUCACUCCAUUAACUUUCCUGGUUUAAAAGCCUUUAUACUUGGACUGAGAAACACCAACAGCUUCCCUGGGCUUCCAACUUGCAGAUGACCUAUCACAGGACUUCUCAGCCUCCAUAAUCGCAUGAGCCAAUUCUCCUAAUAAGUCCCCUUUCACAUAUCUAUUUAUCUACAUACGUAUAUCCUACUGGUUCUGUCUUUCUCAGGAACCCUGACCAAUAUAGUAUGUAUCUCUAAAAGAUAAGGACAUCAAAAAAUAUUACCGCGUCUAAAAAUAAAGUGAUUUCUUAACGUCAUGAAAUAUCCAAUUGCUCUCCAAAUUUUCACAAUUACAAAAGUCCACAUGUUGCAUUUAAUUUUAAUGCCUCUUAAUUCUCCCUUAAUUUUGAGAUUGCCUUUUAAGUAAGGCAGUUUAGCUCCCUAGUUUCACUCUAGCCCAUCCAAGGUGUUUCCAAAAACCUCACCUUCACACUAACCACAUCCAUUAUAAGCUGCUUCUUAAACGAUGAGAGCUCUCACUCUCUAAAAGGAAUUCUAAGCAUACCUCUUAAAGUAAUAACAUAUUAUAUCUCUACUAAGUUUAUAAUCAUAAAGAAUGUGGGUAUUUGCAUUCUCAUUUUACAGAUGGGAAAAUUAGUGUAGGUAACACAUAUAGAGAGGUGAUAAAUAGCAAUGGUUUCCAAGAAUGAUGACGAUUUCAGUGUGAAACAGAGAGUAGCAAUGGCAAGAGAUACAGCUAAGUAAAUGUGGAUGGUGAGGGACCCAUUCUGCCUUGUUAAAAGGUUUGAACCCACCCUAUAGACAAUAAAUCACUCAGUGAAUCACUGAGCAAUUUUAAUUAUGGAAGCAAUGUGAUCAGAUUUAUAUUUAAGGCAAGAGGAUUGGUGGCAAUGUAGAAGGCAAACACAAGUCAGAAAGAGUUAGAAGUAAGAAAAGUGAGUAGUCUGAAGAAAUUGGACACAUAAGAGAUGAGGGGGCUGGAAUGACUAACUAUGCAUCUUAUUCUGAAAUAUGUCUCUUAGGUAAUUGAUUAUUGAUACCCCACAUCCAAAUAGUGGGACAGUUAACUGAGAUGUCAGAGCCAGCCUUUUCAACACUUCUAGAGAGAAAUUUUGCAAAGACACAUCUCUUGUACCUCCAUGGACUUUUAAUACAGAUAUGUUUAUCAUAAGAUAACCUUCUAAAGAGCUCAUGAUAGCAUAUGAUCAAACUCCUUAUUGUACAGUCAGGAGGAAUCAGCCUUGUUGAAGGAAGGGGCUUACCCAAAGUUACAAGUUGGGACAAAAUUUUUGCUUCCAAUUCACUGCUGUUCUUACUAGAACUGUUUUCUCCAGUCUCAUAGAAGUUCUGAGAAACAAUUAGGCCCACACUAUCAUCAACAGGCAAAUAUGUGUGCCUGACCAGACAGACAGAGAGGUAUUUUGAGAGAGGCCAGGAAUGAAACUGGUGAAGAGGCCCAGAGUUUCAAUCCUGUUCUCACUCAAGAUUCAUCAUCAUCAUCAUCUUUACUAUAAGGAAGAGGGCAUUUAAAAGCACAAAUGAGAUUGUUAGUGAUAAAAAGGUACUUAUACACCAGCCAAUUCCAUCCUCCAUUUUGCUGAGGCUCAAAGAGGUACAGUGACUUAUCUUCGGUUAUGUAUGCAACUAUUGCAGAGCUGGAUAUUGGACUUAGGCCUCCUGAAGCCCAGCACUGUGCCUGCAGGAGCAUUCCCAACUCCUGUCUUUCUGCUCAAUACAUGGGGAAGAGACGAACAAUUUAGGCUACUCAAAAUGUGGUGGGCAUUUGGGCUCUGGGGAGAGCUUCAGCAUCUCUUCUCUCUUUUCAUGUUCUCCAACUCCUCAAGCAACAUACACACAUAGCAUAAAGAUCACUAGCCAGCUAUUUUCUGUCUUGAAAAAUUUUUAUGAUAAGAGUUUUCUAAUUAGGGAAAGCCACAGUUCAUACACAAAACACAAAUUACUAGGCUCUUUGUCUUUUUCAGAAGAAGUAUUAAUCCAUAAAUAAAUAUACUCUGUUGCCAAGUCACUACCAUGCUGUAUCACAUGGCCAAAGGAUGCCAAAAGGUAUGAGCUCUUGGUGAAUCCCAGCUAUUGACAGCCAGGUGCUGGACCUUAACCAGAGGCAUUGCUAUAGGUGGUUAAGUAUAUGGGCUCUGGUCAGUGGUGACAAAGUUCCUGGGUUCAAAUCCCAACACCCCCAGUUACUAGUUAUGUGACCUUGGACAAGUUGAUUAAAAUCUCUGUACUUCAACUCCUUUAUUUGUAAUAUGGAAAUGAUUUUUUAAAUUACCUAUCUUCUGGGUCUAUUGCAAAAUUAUCUUAUUUAAUAAUAAGAUAAUCCACUUAAGGCACUAUAUGUGAGUUUUUGCAUGUAGUGAGCACUUGAACCAAUAGAGUAUAUUUCCUUUUGAAUGUAAGAAAUUCACAGAGACAGCUUCUCUAUAGUAAAGGUAAGAAUCAAAACUGAGUUUCUAUAAAUUACUUUGUAUUGCUUAGAGAAAGAAGUCAUGGCAAUAGAUUGAAUAUAUUUUAAUUUAAAGUAGAAAAUUAUAUAGGAAAAAUAGAUAUAUCUUCCAGAGCUCAGUCUCAAAGGCCACAUUUUCUUUUGAGUAUUUUAACCUCCAAAACAUACUUAGUAUGUGGUGAAAUUGCCUACUUCUGGGUUGAGUAAUGUGAGCUAUCAUUACCAUGGUAACAACAAGGCCAAUAACUUGAACUCCAGUCAUAGUAGCUACAAUAAAGGGGACUCAGUUUGGAAAUAAUUAGAAUCCAUCCUUUUUGAGACUGAAAUUCAUUGCCUUUAAGACUCAAUCAACAUUCCUGGUGGUAGUCUGGAAUCAGCUCAAAUCAAGAUACAUCUAUCUUUAAAAAGAAUAUAGGACAAGAAAUCCAAAAUAGGAAAAAAAUCAAAUCAUCUUAUCUUUCUGGUGCAUUUACUAGUCUGAUGAGUCAUAAGAAAAUAAUAACCCAGAGGUUAGAAACAAAGACAUAAGCACAAUUCCUUUCAUUCCAUGGGUAAAAUUGAA